Molecule: ribosomal RNA, 441 nt
Filed under: uncultured bacterium
Lineage: Bacteria
Description: partial 16S ribosomal RNA
Rfam family: Bacterial small subunit ribosomal RNA
Source: RNAcentral
CCUACGGGAGGCAGCAGUGGGGGAUAUUGCACAAUGGGGGAAACCCUGAUGCAGCGACGCCGCGUGGGUGAAGGAGCGUUUCGGUGCGUAAAGCUCUAUCGGCAGGGAAGAAGGAGGACGGUACCUGACUAAGAAGCCCCGGCUAACUACGUGCCAGCAGCCGCGGUAAUACGUAGGGGGCAAGCGUUAUCCGGAUUUACUGGGUGUAAAGGGGGCGCAGACGGCUGUGCAAGCCUGAAGUGAAAGCCCAGGGCCCAACCCCGGGACUGCUUUUGAAACUGGGGAGCUGGAGUGCAGGAGAGGAAAGUGGAAUUCCUAGUGUAGCGGUGAAAUGCGUAGAUAUUAGGAGGAACACCAGUGGCGAAGGCGGCUUACUGGACUGUAACUGACGUUGAGGCCCGAAAGCGUGGGGAGCAAACAGGAUUAGAUACCCGGGUAGUC